Molecule: long non-coding RNA, 539 nt
Filed under: Fukomys damarensis (Damara mole-rat)
Lineage: Eukaryota; Metazoa; Chordata; Mammalia; Rodentia; Bathyergidae
Description: lncRNA (ENSFDAG00000025918.1)
Source: RNAcentral
GUCUCUGCCCUCAGAGAUCAAGCGUGGGGAAGCAGACCUAAAAUGUGCAGGUGAAUCUCGUGUGCUUGGUGAUAAGCGAAGCGUGGCAGAAGCAGAGCAGUGGGGCACCUACGCUGGGCUUCCAUAGCUUUCGAGUCAUCCGCUCUUGCUCAGUCCUCCACUGACCACGACAAAAGUAUUUAGGUACAACUGUUACAUGCAGACACCAGAUGCCAGGCUCUCAAUGGCAGCCUCAUCAGGCGGUGCAAAGAUUUUAAUGAAAUAGAUCUCUGCUACUGAAGAGUUCAGGCUAAGUAAAGGACUCGCUCAUGGAAGACAGUUUGGGGUUUGACAAGCAGUUCACUGCAGAGGCCCUGCCCUGCCCAGCCCCACCCUCUGGCCUUCUGCCAAGUGAAGGCCAAGGCUGCCCUGAGAAAGGGGAAGAGAAAGAGGAGCAAGACCACGGGAGACCGCGUUUGCUCACCAUGGUAGGGAGACAGUCUCCACGAUCACAGUGGGCCAAGACACAGCAUGAGGACCUUGGAAGUUUAGCGCAGUGA